CCGAGUAUCGGUGCCCUCUGGGUGCCUACUCCCACCAAUUGUGAACCUUUUUCGUUGCCUCGGCGGGACGAUGGUACCCCCAUCCUCCGGCGUAAGCUGGAGUGUUCCCGCCAGAGGAUUUUCAAACUCGUUUAAUUUGAAAUCUGAGCAAAACAAAAUAAAAACA
Molecule: unclassified non-coding RNA, 166 nt
Filed under: uncultured fungus
Lineage: Eukaryota; Fungi
Description: sequence contains ITS1, 5.8S rRNA gene
Source: RNAcentral